CCACUGCAGUGGCAAUGCUGGAUCCUUAACUUGCUUCACUGCAAGGGAACUCCCACGACCCUCUUGUUCUUGGGGGUCUGUGGGCCUGAGAAGGAGAGAACUUUCAACUGUAAACGGAAUAAUGAUUAUUCCAUGAGACUGAGCAAUGUUAACUUGAACGGAAGUGGUAUUUGCGAUUUGCAUAACCAGUGCCUGCUGAAUCAAGGGGGGGGUCCCCCAAAACGGAAUUACUCAAUGUCACUAAUGAUGACCUCACCACAUAACAUAAAGCUUUGUGUGGACAAAAAAUACUAGACGGUCAUGUGACUGAGCCCUGCUACCUGCUUGGGCCCUGAAAGCAUCUACAUUUGCAGCUGCAGCUCGUCCAGAGACCCCAAGGCCACCCUAGGUUCUGAGGUCAGGGACACAGCCAAGGCUGUGGCGGCAGAGUCCCAGGUGAUUCCACUUGGAUUUAUUCAGACCCGCUGUGAUAGCUGAGUUCUAAGAUAGCCUCGGAGAUUCCCGACCUCUCAUAUGCACACACCUUCCCCCAGUUAUUCAAUCAAUCCCUGUAGGGAGGUGAUUUUGUAAAUGUAAUUCAGUUCCCCGUCAGGUGACCUUAAAAUAAAACGAUUUUCGGUGGGGACCAGACCGAAUCGCAUGCCCUUUAAGAGGCAGACUUUUCUCCAGCCGGUCCCAGAAGUCAGACACACUCCAUCUGGCCCUGGAGAAAGCGAAGCAUCCCAUUUGGAUAGCAAGGGAGAAGCCAGGUGGCACGGAAUUGCAGACACCCUGGAAGGGCUGAGAGGUGUCCCCAGCUGGGGACUAGAAGAAAAACAGCAACUCAGCCCUAAGACUGCAAGGAAAGGAAUUCUGCUCACACCCGGAGAGCUUGGAAAAGGAGCCCCAAACUCAGGUGCAAACUGCCGCCAGGACCGACAGCUUGAUUCCAGCCAGGCAAGACCGCGGAGGGAAUCCAGACUCACUGGCCUGAGAAUUCUGACCUACAGAAGUUGUCAGGAUAACAAAUGUGUACUGUUUCAAGUUGCGGAGUCUCUGGUAACUUGUUACACAGCAAUAGAAAGCGAAUACAGCUCUCGGUGAAGGAUUCGAAAUUGCGGAAGAGUAACUGUGCCAUCAAGGACAUGUGUAUUUCUUUGCUUCCCAAACCAGGACCCAGGAACCCUUCCGUGCUCAAGUAUCAGUGUCCCUGAAACAUCUGAGGGGAGCUUUAGUGGGCGUCAACUCAAACUUUCUCCUUCCCCCGUUUCAAGUCAAGAAGGAACAGGAAAAUGUCUUUGUAGGUGGGGAGAAAAUUCAGAGCCAACUUUAAGCACCGCUUGCUGAAACCAUCUAUUUUUGGCCGCCAAGCAUCCAUUCCUCCUCCUCACAUAUCAGUCACAGAGAAGGAAGUAGCAUUGGUGUCUGCGAGUAAUGAGAUCCACUGACUGAAGAAGGAAUCCCCUCUCUUUUCUCAUCACCAUCACUGUUUGGUCACCACGCAAAGCUACUAGAGGUAGGCUGCACUUGCCAUUCCUAUUUUUUCAUCUCUCACGACUGUCCCUUUAAUGUUUUUAAAUUGUAAAAUAUCAUGUGCCCCCAGAAAACCCCAUGACAUACAAGCGAAGUUUAUUUACUGCCACUAACUCUUCAGUUGACUGUUCCUGGUUCUGCCUCCACCCCUUAAUGACUCUGUUCUGAUAAAGGUGCCAGUGACUUAACUGGGAGGAUUAUUAUGAGAGUGAUAUUUUCUCUUUCAAAGUUCCAUUCUGCCUGGUCUUUGUCUCCUAGUCCUCGCUCAUUCGUCAAAGCCUCUCUUUGUGUAAACUCUGCUAGGUUUAUAAGCAAUUGCGGGAACUGGAGGCGGCACAGAGCGUCAGAUGCUGCUGUCACUUGUUUCUUCCGGCUUUUACUCAUGGUGCCUUGCGAGCCCUUGUUCUUUGGAACUUUGGAAUCUGUGGACAUUUUUUUGAGGACUACGUUGAAAGUGUAUUCCUUCAGAGAGGAUUUGUGUUUAUUCCUACCAGUCUCCUGCAACCACCUUAAACUGUCAGCUGGAUGAUCUGGGGAUAGACAGUAAAUUCACACUGCAGACCUAUGUGAAGUCAGCUUGGGUGUACACAUUCUGCGGGAAGGUAUCUCUAUUCCUCCCAUCCAAUGCCAGGGUCAAGACGGGAGAGUUUUCUCGCUGCCUCUCCUGUGCUACAAGUUUGUUUCUAGUUCUCUUUCAACUGAACAUGUUACAUCUUUUGGGAUCCCAAAUUUAUGGGAGAUUUCUCCUUCCGCUCUUUUAUUAAACAAUUAU
Molecule: non-coding RNA, 2284 nt
Organism: Sus scrofa (pig)
Lineage: Eukaryota; Metazoa; Chordata; Mammalia; Artiodactyla; Suidae
Source: RefSeq, a predicted model, not a curated record